AUGGGUGUGUGUGUCAGACCGUUUACUAAACACCAGGACUGUUGUAGGCGACGAAAAGAAAACUGAGAUCCAGGAAAGGGAAGUGAUUGCCGUGUUGAACCAUGAAAGGACCUCAGGAAUGAAACCCACACACAGCAAAGCAACAAAGUGAAAGAAGCGUGGAUUCCUAAUGCAGGAGGCACUGAACCAAUCAAUACCCACUGCCCUCCAGACCUCCA
This 218-nucleotide long non-coding RNA is filed under the name Homo sapiens (human). RNAcentral's name for it is "HSALNT0007745". Lineage: Eukaryota; Metazoa; Chordata; Mammalia; Primates; Hominidae. The record is from RNAcentral.